This 216-nucleotide ribosomal RNA is filed under the name Glomeromycotina sp. RNAcentral describes it as "partial small subunit ribosomal RNA". The stretch from base 40 to 216 matches the Rfam family "Eukaryotic small subunit ribosomal RNA", at positions 686 to 864 of the family's 1831-position model. Lineage: Eukaryota; Fungi; Glomeromycota. The record is from RNAcentral.
GGGUCAGUAGGUUGGUCGUGCCACCGGUACGUACUGGUCUCACUGAUUCCUCCUUCCUGAAGAACCGUAAUGCCAUUAAUUUGGUGUUGCGGGGAAACAGGACUGUUACUUUGAGAAAACUAGAGUGUUUAAAGCAAGCUAACGCUUGAAUACAUUAGCAUGGAAUGAUGAAAUAGGACGAUCGAUCCUAUUUUGUUGGUUUCUAGGAUUGACGUA